GAUGAACGCUGGCGGCGUGCCUAAUACAUGCAAGUCGAGCGAACGGACGAGAAGCUUGCUUCUCUGAUGUUAGCGGCGGACGGGUGAGUAACACGUGGAUAACCUACCUAUAAGACUGGGAUAACUCCGGGAAACCGGAGCUAAUACCGGAUAAUAUUUUGAACCGCAUGGUUCAAAAGUGAAAGACGGUCUUGCUGUCACUUAUAGAUGGAUCCGCGCUGCAUUAGCUAGUUGGUAAGGUAACGGCUUACCAAGGCAACGAUGCAUAGCCGACCUGAGAGGGUGAUCGGCCACACUGGAACUGAGACACGGUCCAGACUCCUACGGGAGGCAGCAGUAGGGAAUCUUCCGCAAUGGGCGAAAGCCUGACGGAGCAACGCCGCGUGAGUGAUGAAGGUCUUCGGAUCGUAAAACUCUGUUAUUAGGGAAGAACAUAUGUGUAAGUAACUGUGCACAUCUUGACGGUACCUAAUCAGAAAGCCACGGCUAACUACGUGCCAGCAGCCGCGGUAAUACGUAGGUGGCAAGCGUUAUCCGGAAUUAUUGGGCGUAAAGCGCGCGUAGGCGGUUUUUUAAGUCUGAUGUGAAAGCCCACGGCUCAACCGUGGAGGGUCAUUGGAAACUGGAAAACUUGAGUGCAGAAGAGGAAAGUGGAAUUCCAUGUGUAGCGGUGAAAUGCGCAGAGAUAUGGAGGAACACCAGUGGCGAAGGCGACUUUCUGGUCUGUAACUGACGCUGAUGUGCGAAAGCGUGGGGAUCAAACAGGAUUAGAUACCCUGGUAGUCCACGCCGUAAACGAUGAGUGCUAAGUGUUAGGGGGUUUCCGCCCCUUAGUGCUGCAGCUAACGCAUUAAGCACUCCGCCUGGGGAGUACGACCGCAAGGUUGAAACUCAAAGGAAUUGACGGGGACCCGCACAAGCGGUGGAGCAUGUGGUUUAAUUCGAAGCAACGCGAAGAACCUUACCAAAUCUUGACAUCCUUUGACAACUCUAGAGAUAGAGCUUUCCCCUUCGGGGGACAAAGUGACAGGUGGUGCAUGGUUGUCGUCAGCUCGUGUCGUGAGAUGUUGGGUUAAGUCCCGCAACGAGCGCAACCCUUAAGCUUAGUUGCCAUCAUUAAGUUGGGCACUCUAAGUUGACUGCCGGUGACAAACCGGAGGAAGGUGGGGAUGACGUCAAAUCAUCAUGCCCCUUAUGAUUUGGGCUACACACGUGCUACAAUGGACAAUACAAAGGGCAGCGAAACCGCGAGGUCAAGCAAAUCCCAUAAAGUUGUUCUCAGUUCGGAUUGUAGUCUGCAACUCGACUACAUGAAGCUGGAAUCACUAGUAAUCGUAGAUCAGCAUGCUACGGUGAAUACGUUCCCGGGUCU
RNAcentral lists this ribosomal RNA (1372 nucleotides) under uncultured bacterium. RNAcentral's name for it is "bacterial SSU rRNA". It matches the Rfam family "Bacterial small subunit ribosomal RNA", at positions 28 to 1381 of the family's 1533-position model. The record is from RNAcentral.